RNAcentral lists this ribosomal RNA (448 nucleotides) under uncultured bacterium. RNAcentral describes it as "partial 16S ribosomal RNA". It matches the Rfam family "Bacterial small subunit ribosomal RNA", at positions 29 to 523 of the family's 1533-position model. The record is from RNAcentral.
AACGAACGCUGGCGGCAUGCCUAACACAUGCAAGUCGAACGAGACCUUCGGGUCUAGUGGCGCACGGGUGCGUAACGCGUGGGAAUCUACCCUUGGGUUCGGAAUAACAGUUAGAAAUGACUGCUAAUACCGGAUGAUGACGUAAGUCCAAAGAUUUAACGCCCAAGGAUGAGCCCGCGUAAGAUUAGCUUGUUGGUGGGGUAAUGGCCUACCAAGGCGACGAUCUUUAGCUGGUCUGAGAGGAUGAUCAGCCACACUGGGACUGAGACACGGCCCAGACUCCUACGGGAGGCAGCAGUUGGGAAUAUUGGACAGUGGGCGAAAGCCUGAUCCAGCAAUGCCGCGUGGGUGAUGAAGGCCUUAGGGUUGUAAAGCUCUUUUACCAGGGAUGAUAAUGACAGUACCUGGAGAAUAAGCUCCGGCUAACUCCGUGCCAGCCCCGCAGUAA